UACAGAGGGUGCGAGCGUUGUCCGGAAUUACUGGGCGUAAAGGGCGCGUAGGCGGCCUGAUAAGUCGGGGGUGAAAUUCAGCGGCUCAACCGCUGGACUGCCUUCGAGACUGUUAGGCUCGAGCACGGUAGAGGCUGGUGGAAUUCCCGGUGUAGCGGUGGAAUGCGUAGAGAUCGGGAAGAACAUCGGUGGCGAAGGCGGCCAGCUGGGCCGUUGCUGACGCUGAUGCGCGACAGCGUGGGGAGCAAACAGGAUUAGAUACCCUGGUAGUCCACGCCGUAAACGAUGGGUACUAGGCGCCGGGGGGAGCGACCCCUUCGGUGCCGUCGUUAACACAGUAAGUACCCCGCCUGGGGAGUACGGCCGCAAGGCUGAA
This 376-nucleotide ribosomal RNA is filed under the name uncultured bacterium. RNAcentral describes it as "bacterial SSU rRNA". It matches the Rfam family "Bacterial small subunit ribosomal RNA", at positions 524 to 898 of the family's 1533-position model. The record is from RNAcentral.